Molecule: long non-coding RNA, 538 nt
Organism: Corythoichthys intestinalis (scribbled pipefish)
Lineage: Eukaryota; Metazoa; Chordata; Actinopteri; Syngnathiformes; Syngnathidae
Exons: 3
Source: RefSeq, a predicted model, not a curated record
GAGCAAGGGUUGAGUGAGUGGAACGUGCCAUCAACGGAUGGAGAUGGUGUGGGGUAGAAGAAAAGUGUAACCUGAAGACUUUUUCUUUAUAUUCUAUCUCAUAGCUGCCUGCAGAGGAAGAAACCAUUGGAAUACGGCCAAGAUUCUGGAGGCUUCAUGGGGACCAGAUUCAGACAGUGUAGAGCUCUGGCAAGGCGGACGUGCCCUCACACAGCACAAAUCCAUCCAGGCAUAUCUAAACUCUCUUAAAGUAUUUGGGGGGUUGAUGGUGGUGAACUGCUAGCUAACUCGUGGCAAAAUGCCUGGCAAGAAAGAUCCCAAGAAGGACGACAAAAAAAAGGGCGGCAAACCUGAACCCGAGAAAAAGAAAGAGGAAGAAAAGAAAGGGAAGGAUGACAAGAAAGGCGGUAAGGAGGACAAGAAAGCAGGGAAGGAUGACAAGAAAGGAGUGAAAGAUGACAAAAAGGGAGGGAAAGAUGAUAAGAAAGCAGGGAAGGAUGACAAGAAAGGGAAGGAUGAUCGUAAAGGAAAAGAUGAU